RNAcentral lists this ribosomal RNA (253 nucleotides) under uncultured bacterium. Its description in RNAcentral is "partial 16S ribosomal RNA". It matches the Rfam family "Bacterial small subunit ribosomal RNA", at positions 524 to 776 of the family's 1533-position model. The record is from RNAcentral.
UACGGAGGGUGCAAGCGUUAAUCGGAAUUACUGGGCGUAAAGCGCACGCAGGCGGUUUGUUAAGCUAGAUGUGAAGGCCCCGGGCUCAACCUGGGAGGGUCAUUUAGAACUGGCAGACUAGAGUCUUGGAGAGGGGAGUGGAAUUCCAGGUGUAGCGGUGAAAUGCGUAGAGAUGUGGAGGAACAUCAGUGGCGAAGGCGACUCCCUGGCCAAAGACUGACGCUCAUGUGCGAAAGUGUGGGGAGCGAACAGG